Molecule: non-coding RNA, 213 nt
Organism: Cinara cedri
Lineage: Eukaryota; Metazoa; Arthropoda; Insecta; Hemiptera; Aphididae
Source: the annotation of a GenBank genome assembly
CGUUUACUUAUUGCCAACAGCUACCGGAGUCUGAUCAUCUGAUUAUAACCUAAUCUCAGAAAGUCAUUAUGGUAUACAUAAAGUUAUUUAAUUUAUACCUCUAAUCAUUGAUAAAAAAUUGCUAACGAAAUACGAUUCACAGUGAAGUUCGGGUAAACGCCUGUUUUGAAGAGCUUUAAUAUUUUUGAUUUUCGUCAACAUUAGAUUUUAAAA